RNAcentral lists this ribosomal RNA (330 nucleotides) under uncultured Aquicella sp. Its description in RNAcentral is "bacterial SSU rRNA". It matches the Rfam family "Bacterial small subunit ribosomal RNA", at positions 568 to 898 of the family's 1533-position model. The record is from RNAcentral. Lineage: Bacteria; Pseudomonadati; Pseudomonadota; Gammaproteobacteria; Legionellales; Coxiellaceae.
CGCGUAGGCGGUGAGAUGAGUGUGAUGUGAAAGCCCCGGGCUUAACCUGGGAAGUGCAUCGCAAACGAUCUGACUGGAGUAUAAGAGAGGGUGGCGGAAUUUCCGGUGUAGCGGUGAAAUGCGUAGAGAUCGGAAGGAACGUCAAUGGCGAAGGCAGCCACCUGGCUUAAUACUGACGCUGAGGCGCGAAAGCGUGGGGAGCGAACAGGAUUAGAUACCCUGGUAGUCCACGCUGUAAACGAUGAAGACUAGAUGUUGAUAGGGGAACCUAGCAGUAUCGAAGCUAACGCGAUAAGUCUUCCGCCUGGGAAGUACGGCCGCAAGGUUGAA